GUAUACCUCUUAGUACAUUACAUAUAUUAAAGCUUAAAAACAUCCCCAAACAACAUUUAGGUAUAAUUUAAUCAGAUUAUGGUAGAUUCCGGUGGAUUCCGGUAAUAAGGGGAUUCCGGUAAUUCUAUGGACCGGCAGAAAUACGAAAUGGCAAAUCAUGCAAGAUUGAUAAAUAUCUUCUUCUAUUUGUUUGUUUGAAAAAUAUGUUGAAAAUUAUUUUUUUUAAACCAGAGACGGCAGUUCAGAUGCAGUCGUCCUGUGUGUCAGAAAGCUGGUGAUCAAAAUGGUUGAAGGUAGUACCCAAGAAAGUACAUUUACAAAGUUGUGAGGAGUAACCUAGCCUAUAUAACCUGAAGCCUACCCAAUAUGCAGUGUGUUCUGCUCUGUCAAUAACAACUCUGUAUGGCUGGUCUGACCUCAGUGGAAGUUGUUCGUUUAAAUGGUUUCGGGACAUUGAAGUAAAACAACACGAGAAUGUCCCACCAAGAGUGAAGGGCUGCCUGUUUGCUUCAUAUUCUCAGUCCUCCUCGCUGAUGAUUUCUGAAGUCCUUACGCAGUCACCCCAGUCUUCAACCUCGAUGAGAUGCCAUACACAGGGGAUCCGACAGAAGACAGCAGACAGAAUUCGUCAAUGUAUUUGAAAUGUCAUUGUUUAUUUGAAAAAAGUUAC
This is a long non-coding RNA of Mya arenaria, 670 nucleotides long. RefSeq lists it as uncharacterized. The transcript is spliced from 5 exons. NCBI's taxonomy places the organism in Eukaryota, Metazoa, Mollusca, Bivalvia, Myida, Myidae. The record is from RefSeq and is a predicted model, not a curated record.